GACGAACGCUGGCGGCGUGCUUAACACAUGCAAGUCGAACGGAAAGGCCCUGCUUUUGUGGGGUGCUCGAGUGGCGAACGGGUGAGUAACACGUGAGUGACCUGCCCUUGACUUUGGGAUAACUUCAGGAAACUGGGGCUAAUACCGGAUAGGACCUCCUGCUGCAUGGUGGGUGUUGGAAAGUUUCGGCGGUUGGGGAUGGACUCGCGGCUUAUCAGCUUGUUGGUGGGGUAGUGGCUUACCAAGGCUGUGACGGGUAGCCGGCCUGAGAGGGUGACCGGCCACAUUGGGACUGAGACACGGCCCAGACUCCUACGGGAGGCAGCAGUGGGGAAUAUUGCACAAUGGGCGGAAGCCUGAUGCAGCAACGCCGCGUGCGGGAUGACGGCCUUCGGGUUGUAAACCGCUUUCGCCUGUGACGAAGCGUGAGUGACGGUAAUGGGUAAAGAAGCACCGGCUAACUACGUG
Molecule: ribosomal RNA, 468 nt
Filed under: uncultured bacterium
Lineage: Bacteria
Description: partial 16S ribosomal RNA
Rfam family: Bacterial small subunit ribosomal RNA
Source: RNAcentral